UCCUGUCACCAGCUCGAAGGAGGUCAGGGAAUGCACUUGCUCAUUCGGAGAAUGACACGAAAACAGAAUCCGACCAUCUUCUCACGCGGUUCGAGCAACUCCAUAGACAAUCCUAACUACGCGAUGCCGCACGCUACCCGACCACCUGAGCAUACGUUCGAAGCUGGCUGCUGACUUUGGUUAAAAAUGAUGCCGGCAGGAUAACUGAAGGAGAAUGAAAUAGCAUAGGCGAUAGCGGCCUAUUCUUCCAGGAAUCAACAAGCGAGGAGCCUCGCAUCAACCAGUGGUCGGGAAAUCUCUCAUGCGAGAACAAAGCUAUUAAUCACCACUGGGAGUUUAAUUUGUUUCUGCUUUGGAAGGCAUUUGAUCGGGAAAUUAAUUCGGGUCUCCGGUCAAUUAUGGCCAUCAGGUCGGGAGGUGAUUAGCACAUGGGUGAUUGGGAUCAAGCAUGGUCGUUUAACUCUUGACGUGCAUAAUUGUAUAAUCCAGCCGAUUUCCAGGAUAACCGACUACAUCGUCGAGAAAUCAGUCCGCAGUUGCCGGGGAGCUCGAAAGCAAUUGCGCGCUCAUUUGGUGAGGUCGGAAAGAUACGGAGAGUAGACUUAUACCUGGUCGGUCGCUCUUCUCAACUCGUAAUCUUCCUUACGAUCGGGAACAAGGAGGCCGAAGAUGAAUUAGCCCGUCAAAAAAUGGGACCUGCUUAAUACUGGCAUCAUUUCGCGUGAUGAUCGACUGCUUCGAAACCUGAUCGGAGCCGAGCAUCAAGCAAUUUUUAAUCCCCAAGGCUGCCAACCAUCGACAUAUUUUAAAGAGAAAAAAACCCAGAGAUGGCCUGUUGAGGUUGCCAAGUGCCCGGUCAGUGAAUCCCGGAUCAACGUAACCGGUGCGAUUGGAGACAUGCUCAGAGGUGGUUCUGGAAGUCUGCUCGGAAUCAUCAUGGUCGGCUGAUGCUAAAAAUUCUGAGCAAGAUCCCGGUCGAGAGUUGAAAAAGUUUAACAUGGGGCUUUUGAGAAUAGGUUUAGGAUGCUGUUCAGGCUCGCCAUGGAUCAAGAUGCACGGAGUAUGCUUUAGGCUUAGCAUGCCGGCACAUCUAAUCUCGUUUGACUGUACUCAUUAAGCAACUGAGAAUAUCAAACUGUUGGAAAACUACAAUACGAGCUCUUGCCAACCUCAAAUCUCAUGAUGCGGUCGGAGCUCGGGAGUUUGCCGUUGUCGGAUGCUCGGGAAAAUACUGACCAGGGGGAGAGAUCUUGGGCUGGCAGAUUUAGCUGAGAUUUUCCUGUCACCUCAUCCCUUCAACGAACAUUUAUCAGCCCGGGGAAGAAUGACCCAUGCUUCAAAAAUUUAGCUUAUAGCUAUUGUGUACUCUGCCACAGUUUCUCUGAUCCCGCGUGCUCCAAUUCGCUGCUCAAGAGAGAGUUGGCGGUGGACUCCUCAAGGUUACGCGUCUCUGGUGGCCGGUGAGGAUAGCAAUAAAGAGCUCUUCGACCUGAGGGAUACCCUCACCCGAUCAUCGCCGAACAUCAUACAUAUAGUCACAGUCAUCAUCCGCUGCUGUUGCUGCAACGGAGAGUUACAAUGAUGAAUGUGAUCGGCGAGUCGGCUCCUGAACCAUUUAGAGACGGUGGAACCGUGCAGCCAGGCUCGUAUAACUUGCAUUGCUUAGAAUUGAUCAUCGGCUCGGAGGUCGGGAGAGGUCGAGCAACUCUGAAUGUCGUGGGUGGCACACAGGAACCGCCGGUGUUGUUAAUGCCUCGAUCACUCUUAUGCCAGCACGUACUGUUUGAGCCGGUAGGAGAGACCAAAUAGACGUACUCCCGGAAGUCGCGAAGUCUGAACAGCGGAGUUGGAUGGUUCUGCCGGUCACGCGAUCAAGGGCUUGCAUUGCUGUGCCACAAGCAGAUGAUCGGCAUCAGUGGUCGGAGCGUCGCUGGGAAGCUAUUGGAAAACUCGGAAAAGUUUAAAUAAUUAAGUUGGAUCGCUCAAUCUGGUUACCGGAUGUUUGGAGAUGCCAGCUGAUCGUAAUGGAGCAUUUUUUCCUUCCAACGAAAUUGCACAACUUAUCCAGCUUCAGGUUAUUCUCUGGCUGCGACUACAGUAAUGACUAGAAAACCAUCUACUCUACUCGGGACGGAUUGACCGGGAAACAAAAUUGCCCGCUAGCUAAAACUCAGGAAGCUUGAAUAAUUUAAGCUUAAUACAUGCUUCAACUCUCAAGUAUGGGUGGCAUGUAAUGACAAUGUUCCAGCCCUUGCAUGCAUGAAUUUCAUUUUCUACUGGAUCACCCACACCCACACCCCCUGCCUCCAACGAGAUGAGAAGGGAGAGGAAAUCAGACCAUUCUGAUGGAACUUCUCAGCGAUCAAGCUCAUGAAGUGGCGAAAAAGAUGAUUGGAGGGGUGAAUAAUUUGCUUGAAAUUAACAUUUUGGAAGCAGAUUAUUGGUGAGGAACAAAGAAGACUACGAGGAAGAGUCAUCUAGGACCGAGGAAAGCGCGGCGGAGGCGGUGGUCGACCCCUACUGGUAAUUCGCCUUUGGCGAUGAUGAAGGUUUGCCGGAAAUCGAGUGAGAGGCAGCGAUGCAUGACGGAGAUCACCUUACCUGCGGGCAAUGGAGUCCCCACCAGAUAGCAUGCAAGUGACUGAUUCUUUUAUACAUGGUAUCCAGUAUACACGAAGAACAGGGGAACGCCAUUGACGAUGCAGAGGUGAGACAGGUAACUCCGGAACUACUCUCGAUUCUCCUCUUCUCCAAAUUCAGCUUCUCCAUUUUGACGGUUGAGGAACACAGCUUUCUGAUCGUAUUCCCACAGACGGCGCCAUUUGAUAAGGAAAAAAUCCCUAUAUACUCUGUGUGUAUAAUGAUGUAUGUAGAGGUAGAUCAAACAAAGAAUUUAGCCCCCAAAUUCCAUCCUUUAUUCAUUGUUCUUCAAUAAAAUGUAGAGGGGAGGGAGAGCAUAUUUGGUGUUGUAGAGAGAGAGAGUCCCGGGAGGCCCAAAGUCCUUUCACUGAAGGGUUUAUGUCCCUUUUAUAGGCGUAGUCUCGAACUCGUAUACGGUCUACGUACCAAAUACUCAGGGUCGUAUACGCGUAGUAUAUUCCCUAUCAGAAAGCUUUAUUUUCCUUCCUAGAUCUUGAAUCUAAGUAUAGUUUCUUAAUAA
This is a long non-coding RNA of Ipomoea triloba (trilobed morning glory), 3160 nucleotides long. RefSeq lists it as uncharacterized. NCBI's taxonomy places the organism in Eukaryota, Viridiplantae, Streptophyta, Magnoliopsida, Solanales, Convolvulaceae. The transcript has 2 exons. The record is from RefSeq and is a predicted model, not a curated record.